GGCAAUGCUGUAGCUGGCAGUGGUUGGCAGAUUCGAAACCUCUAGAAGGUUAACAUAGGCUCUCCAUCACCGACUCCUACUCAAUACGUUCUGCUGGAUUCGUGGUCACACAGGUAUUCAGGGAAACAAAAUAACAUCGGAGAGGG
Anopheles arabiensis is the source of this 146-nucleotide non-coding RNA. Lineage: Eukaryota; Metazoa; Arthropoda; Insecta; Diptera; Culicidae. The record is from Rfam.